GAAGAAUUGGCGACAUUGCUCGACGCAGAUGCAUGCCAGACGCAAGAAGAACUUGCAAAAGUAUUAGAAGUUAAUCAAGCAACCGUAAUAAAAGAACGAUUAAAUUUUUGUGCCUCAAAUUUUAGACCAGACUUUUGUUAUAUUAUAUUUUACUAUGCUGGGGUGCUGAAGACUAGUUUAAUGGCGACACUUGAAAAGUUACUUGACCUACUACCACUCGACAUUGCAGUGAAGAGAGCUGCAGUAAAAUCAGCCAUGAGAUUGAUGGCCUUAGGUAAAUUCCCCGAUAGGCACAGCUCUCUAUGGAGAACAAAAUAGAAAGGGUAUGCCUUAUUGGGGAUUUGAGAAUUUCAAGCUAUGUUUAAGAACGGCAGACGACGCAAAAACUUGGGACCCGCCAGUGGAAUGUAUAAUAUCUACAUGGGUGUAUCGAAAAAGUGUAUCGAAAAAGGCUGAUGAAGUGGGUGCCAGAUCUGCAAAUCAAAAAUGCUAUUCGUCUUACUAAUGAACCAAAGAGGAAUAUACAAAAGUCAUCAAAAACGAUGCAUAAUGAGAUUUCCGAAAGAGCUGGAUGCCGGAUCAGAGUGAGUUGGAACGCAUUAUUGACAUGCAAAACGCCAAGAUAAUGUGUAAUACCUGCAAAGGUUAUAACCAUUUCUAGUCUACAUGUAAGCCAAAUUCUUAAUUCGGACCUGUAAAGAUCCCAUGUAUCGAUAAUGGCUCGACAGAAGCUCCGUGAGCAUGGUUGGUUUUAUGAAUAUGCAUCUUAUAGUUCAAACCGCUGACCACUUUCCGCUGUCUGCGCCGAAUGCUUGGGUUGUUGAAGAAUUGGCCUUAAGAAAAGCUUGCGAAAAUCCCCAAUUGUUCUAAUUUUUUGUGAGUUUCAAGGAGACAGGCAUAAUCGUAUUACAUUCAAAACUACGAAAAGUAAACGAGCAAAUCGGCGGGUAUUUAACAUCAAUCGGAAAAUUCUAACUGUGCUAAAUGAAGACUUCAAUUAAAUGCCAAAAUAAUGGAUUACUUUUAACUUGACCUAAUUAUAUGUUUAAUUUAAUUCGCUCAAAAAGGAAGAUGUAAAGUUUUGGUUGUUUUCGGAAAUUAUUUAUAUUUAAAAAUUAUUAUACUUAAAAUUCCAACUAAUUAUAGCCUCUUGUGAAGAAUUAGAUAUUGUAGAAAUAAAUAAAAGUAAUUGGACAUCUGCCUAGUCUCUAAACUAAGCAAAUUCCUUGCCAAAAUUUA
Molecule: long non-coding RNA, 1239 nt
Organism: Ceratitis capitata (Mediterranean fruit fly)
Lineage: Eukaryota; Metazoa; Arthropoda; Insecta; Diptera; Tephritidae
Exons: 2
Source: RefSeq, a predicted model, not a curated record